UUUAGAUUGAUCGACAUGAAAGAUGUUGUAUCCUGGACGAUGAUAAUAGAGGACUAAUUGUGAAAUCUCUGUUUGUGGAUGAUGUUCGGAAGCUGUUCAAUGAAAUGCCCGUGAGAAAUGUGGUUUCUUGGAUGAGUUUGAUAGCCGGCUAUGCUAAAGAUGGAAGGUUGUAAUUAUGGUCCACCUUAUGAAUGGCAAGUAUACAACACUCUUGGUGUAUUCAUGGGGUACCAAAAGUCCAUUACAAGGGUCGGCAAGGGGAUUAUUAUGUCAUGUUACUUGGAGAAUUUUUAGCUCCUCUGCCUUUAGAGUUUGUAACAUAAUAUGAGAUGUUUUCUAAUAUUAAAGGAAAACUACAGAUUAUGCAUAUGCUGGGACCAAGCCUGUCGGAUGUAUGGAAUAGCAACUCAUACACAAUGUCUGUGGAAAUGGUCGCAUGUAUUGCAAUCGAAGCAAUCUCCAUAUUGGAGAAGAUGCAUUCAAAAGGGUAGAAGUUUACUGUUUUCUUUGCAUCUGAGUUUGUUCUUUUAUGUGUUAAGAAAU
Long non-coding RNA from Zingiber officinale, 543 nucleotides. RefSeq lists it as uncharacterized. The transcript is spliced from 3 exons. NCBI's taxonomy places the organism in Eukaryota, Viridiplantae, Streptophyta, Magnoliopsida, Zingiberales, Zingiberaceae. The record is from RefSeq and is a predicted model, not a curated record.